RNAcentral lists this ribosomal RNA (347 nucleotides) under Pseudo-nitzschia delicatissima. RNAcentral describes it as "LSU rRNA". It matches the Rfam family "Eukaryotic large subunit ribosomal RNA", at positions 185 to 544 of the family's 3401-position model. Lineage: Eukaryota; Bacillariophyta; Bacillariophyceae; Bacillariales; Bacillariaceae. The record is from RNAcentral.
GUUCCUUGGAAAAGGACAGCUGAGAGGGUGACACUCCCGUCCGCCUGGUAGAAUGAGUCUUUGUCAACGAGUCGAGUUGUUUGGGAUUGCAGCUCUAAUUUGGUGGUAAAUUCCAUCUAAAGCUAAAUAUUGGUGGGAGACCGAUAGCGUACAAGUACCGUGAGGGAAAGAUGCAAAGAACUUUGAAAAGAGAGUUAAAGAGUACCUGAAAUUGCUGAAACGGAAGCGAAGGAAACCAGUGUUUGUUGGUUCAUAUUUCCCUGGCCACUUGUGGUUUGGGCGCUGUGAGCUUGCGUGGGUUUGCUUUGGUUGAUCCCUUUGGAAGAGCGCAGUCAGAGUUGAUGUCU